AUACCGUGAAACUGCGAAUGGCUCAUUAAAUCAGUUAUCGUUUAUUUGAUAGUACCUUACUACUUGGAUAACCGUGGUAAUUCUAGAGCUAAUACAUGCUAAAAACCCCAACUUCGGGAGGGGUGUAUUUAUUAGAUAAAAAACCAAUGCCCUUCGGGGCUCCUUGGUGAUUCAUAAUAACUUAACGGAUCGCAUGGCCUUGCGCCGGCGACGGUUCAUUCAAAUUUCUGCCCUAUCAACUUUCGAUGGUAAGGUAUUGGCUUACCAUGGUUUCAACGGGUAACGGGGAAUUAGGGUUCGAUUCCGGAGAGGGAGCCUGAGAAACGGCUACCACAUCCAAGGAAGGCAGCAGGCGCGCAAAUUACCCAAUCCCGACACGGGGAGGUAGUGACAAUAAAUACUGAUACAGGGCUCUUUUGGGUCUUGUAAUCGGAAUGAGUACAAUUUAAACCCCUUAACGAGGAACAAUUGGAGGGCAAGUCUGGUGCCAGCAGCCGCGGUAAUUCCAGCUCCAAUAGCGUAUAUUAAAGUUGUUGCAGUUAAAAAGCUCGUAGUUGAACCUUGGGCCUGGCUGGCCGGUCCGCCUCACCGCGUGUACUGGUCCGGCCGGGCCUUUCCUUCUGGAGAUCCUCAUGCCCUUCACUGGGUGUGUUGGGGAACCAGGACUUUUACUGUGAACAAAUUAGAGUGUUCAAAGCAGGCCUUUGCUCGAAUACAUUAGCAUGGAAUAAUAGAAUAGGACGUGCGGUCCUAUUUUGUUGGUUUCUAGGACCGCCGUAAUGAUUAAUAGGGAUAGUCGGGGGCAUCAGUAUUCAAUUGUCAGAGGUGAAAUUCUUGGAUUUAUUGAAGACUAACUACUGCGAAAGCAUUUGCCAAGGAUGUUUUCAUUAAUCAGUGAACGAAAGUUAGGGGAUCGAAGACGAUCAGAUACCGUCGUAGUCUUAACCGUAAACUAUGCCGACUAGGGAUCGGGCGAUGUUUCUAUCUUGACUCGCUCGGCACCUUACG
Molecule: ribosomal RNA, 1008 nt
Filed under: Nigrograna coffeae
Lineage: Eukaryota; Fungi; Ascomycota; Dothideomycetes; Pleosporales; Nigrogranaceae
Description: SSU rRNA
Rfam family: Eukaryotic small subunit ribosomal RNA
Source: RNAcentral